GAUGAAGAACGUAGCGAAAUGCGAUAAGUAGUGUGAAUUGCAGAAUUCAGUGAAUCAUCGAAUCUUUGAACGCACAUUGCGCCCCUUGGUAUUCCAUGGGGCAUGCCUGUUCGAGCGUCAUUUCAACCAUCAAGCCCUAGGCUUGCGUUGGAGCCCUGCGGCUGCCGCAGGCCCCUAAAAGCAGUGGCGGGCUCGCUAUCACACCGAGUGCAGUAGAUUACUCUUCGCUCAGGGCGUGUGGCGGGUUCCAGCCGUGAAACCCCCUACUUCUCAAGGUUGACCUCGGAUCAGGUAGGAAUACCCGCUGAACUUAAGCAUAUCAAUAAGCGGAGGA
RNAcentral lists this unclassified non-coding RNA (334 nucleotides) under soil metagenome. RNAcentral describes it as "partial contains 5.8S ribosomal RNA, internal transcribed spacer 2, and large subunit ribosomal RNA". The stretch from base 1 to 120 matches the Rfam family "5.8S ribosomal RNA", at positions 35 to 154 of the family's 154-position model. The record is from RNAcentral.